This 232-nucleotide ribosomal RNA is filed under the name uncultured bacterium. Its description in RNAcentral is "partial 16S ribosomal RNA". It matches the Rfam family "Bacterial small subunit ribosomal RNA", at positions 99 to 334 of the family's 1533-position model. The record is from RNAcentral.
CGGACGGGUGAGUAAUGUCUGGGAAACUGCCUGAUGGAGGGGGAUAACUACUGGAAACGGUAGCUAAUACCGCAUAACGUCGCAAGACCAAAGAGGGGGACCUUCGGGCCUCUUGCCAUCGGAUGUGCCCAGAUGGGAUUAGCUAGUAGGUGGGGUAACGGCCCACCUAGGCGACGAUCCCUAGCUGGUCUGAGAGGAUGACCAGCCACACUGGAACUGAGACACGGUCCAG